This 67-nucleotide transfer RNA is filed under the name Marmota monax (woodchuck). RNAcentral describes it as "tRNA.Ser". Lineage: Eukaryota; Metazoa; Chordata; Mammalia; Rodentia; Sciuridae. The record is from RNAcentral.
GGAGUGUGGCUCAGUGAUAGAGCACAGGCUUAGAAUGUGUGAGGUCCUGGGUUCAUCCCUAGCACCA